GCCUCGGAGGAAACAGACCCUCGUGCUUCUGUCGUCAGGGUGACGUGGCCGGGCGGCCUGUUGCUGGCUCCGCGGCGGUCGCACAGCUCGGCGAGAGCCUCCCUUGCAACUACAGGGAGGGACCUUCGGUGUCCAAGCAAGACUACGGCGGGGCAGCUCACCUGUACCUCCACACUGACGGUCGUUGCGUUUUCCUCCACCUUCGUCGUGGUCGUCGU
Molecule: long non-coding RNA, 218 nt
Organism: Penaeus chinensis
Lineage: Eukaryota; Metazoa; Arthropoda; Malacostraca; Decapoda; Penaeidae
Exons: 3
Source: RefSeq, a predicted model, not a curated record